Molecule: ribosomal RNA, 850 nt
Filed under: uncultured Lysinibacillus sp.
Lineage: Bacteria; Bacillati; Bacillota; Bacilli; Caryophanales; Bacillaceae
Description: bacterial SSU rRNA
Rfam family: Bacterial small subunit ribosomal RNA
Source: RNAcentral
AUAAUGCAGUCGAGCGACAGAGAAGGAGCUUGCUCCUUUGACGUUAGCGGCGGACGGGUGAGUAACACGUGGGCAACCUACCUUAUAGUUUGGGAUAACUCCGGGAAACCGGGGCUAAUACCGAAUAAUCUAUUUCACCUCAUGGUGAAAUACUGAAAGACGGUUUCGGCUGUCGCUAUAAGAUGGGCCCGCGGCGCAUUAGCUAGUUGGUGAGGUAACGGCUCACCAAGGCGACGAUGCGUAGCCGACCUGAGAGGGUGAUCGGCCACACUGGGACUGAGACACGGCCCAGACUCCUACGGGAGGCAGCAGUAGGGAAUCUUCCACAAUGGGCGAAAGCCUGAUGGAGCAACGCCGCGUGAGUGAAGAAGGUUUUCGGAUCGUAAAACUCUGUUGUAAGGGAAGAACAAGUACAGUAGUAACUGGCUGUACCUUGACGGUACCUUAUUAGAAAGCCACGGCUAACUACGUGCCAGCAGCCGCGGUAAUACGUAGGUGGCAAGCGUUGUCCGGAUUUAUUGGGCGUAAAGCGCGUGCAGGUGGUUUCUUAAGUCUGAUGUGAAAUCUCGCGGCUCAACCGCGAGCGGUCAUUGGAAACUGGGGAACUUGAGUGCAGAAGAGGAUAGUGGAAUUCCAAGUGUAGCGGUGAAAUGCGUAGAGAUUUGGAGGAACACCAGUGGCGAAGGCGACUGUCUGGUCUGUAACUGACACUGAGGCGCGAAAGCGUGGGGAGCAAACAGGAUUAGAUACCCUGGUAGUCCACGCCGUAAACGAUGAGUGCUAAGUGUUAGGGGGUUUCCGCCCCUUAGUGCUGCAGCUAACGCAUUAAGCACUCCGCCUGGGGAGUACG